Molecule: ribosomal RNA, 447 nt
Filed under: uncultured bacterium
Lineage: Bacteria
Description: partial 16S ribosomal RNA
Rfam family: Bacterial small subunit ribosomal RNA
Source: RNAcentral
AACGAACGCUGGCGGCAGGCCUCAAACAUGCAAGUCUAGGGGGUAGCAAUACCACCGGCGGACGGGUGCGUAACGCGUGGGAACAUACCUUUCGGUACGGAACAACCCAGGGAAACUUGGGCUAAUACCGUAUACGCCCUUACGGGGAAAGAUUUAUCGCCGAAGGAUUGGCCCGCGUUCGAUUAGCUUGUUGGUGAGGUAAAGGCUCACCAAGGCUACGAUCGAUAGCUGUUCUGAGAGGAAGAUCAGCCACACUGGGACUGAGACACGGCCCAGACUCCUACGGGAGGCAGCAGUUGGGAAUCUUGGACAAUGGGGGAAACCCUGAUCCAGCCAUGCCGCGUGAGUGAUGAAGGCCUUCGGGUUGUAAAACUCUUUCGACGGGGACGAUAAUGACGGUACCCGUAGAAGAAGCUCCGGCUAACUUCGUGCCAGCAGCCGCCGUAA